Molecule: ribosomal RNA, 497 nt
Filed under: uncultured bacterium
Lineage: Bacteria
Description: partial 16S ribosomal RNA
Rfam family: Bacterial small subunit ribosomal RNA
Source: RNAcentral
GAUGAACGCUGGCGGCGUGCCUAAUACAUGCAAGUCGAGCGAACGGACGAGAAGCUUGCUUCUCUGAUGUUGGCGGCGGACGGGUGAGUAACACGUGGAUAACCUACCUAUAAGACUGGGAUAACUUCGGGAAACCGGAGCUAAUACCGGAUGAUAUUUUGAACCGCAUGGUUCAAAAGUGAAAGACGGUCUUGCUGUCACUUAUAGAUGGAUCCGCGCUGCAUUAGCUAGUUGGUAAGGUAACGGCUUACCAAGGCAACGAUGCAUAGCCGACCUGAGAGAGUGAUCGGCCACACUGGAACUGAGACACGGUCCAGACUCCUACGGGAGGCAGCAGUAGGGAAUCUUCCGCAAUGGGCGAAAGCCUGACGGAGCAACGCCGCGUGAGUGAUGAAGGUCUUCGGAUCGUAAAACUCUGUUAUUAGGGAAGAACAUAUGUGUAAGUAACUGUGCACAUCUUGACGGUACCUAAUCAGAAAGCCACGGCUAACUACGUG